GAUGAACGCUAGCGAUAGGCUUAACACAUGCAAGUCGAGGGGCAGCAUGGUCUUAGCUUGCUAAGACUGAUGGCGACCGGCGCACGGGUGCGUAACGCGUAUGCAACUUGCCUCACAGAGGGGGAUAACCCGUCGAAAGACGGACUAAUACCGCGUACACUCUAUUUUGGGCAUCCAAGGUAGAGGAAAUGAAAUUCGCUGUGAGAUAGGCAUGCGUCCCAUUAGCUAGUUGGUGAGGUAACGGCUCACCAAGUGGACGAUGGGUAGGGGAACUGAGAGGUUGAACCCCCACACUGGUACUGAGACACGGACCAGACUCCUACGGGAGGAAGCAGUGAGGAAUAUUGGUCAAUGGGCGAGGGCCUGAACCAGCCAAGUCGCGUGAAGGAUGACUGUCUUAUGGAUUGUAAACUUCUUUUGUAGGGGAAUAAAGAGGGGCACGUGUGCCCCAGUGAAUGUACCCUACGAAUAAGCAUCGGCUAACUCCGUG
This 490-nucleotide ribosomal RNA is filed under the name uncultured bacterium. Its description in RNAcentral is "partial 16S ribosomal RNA". It matches the Rfam family "Bacterial small subunit ribosomal RNA", at positions 28 to 507 of the family's 1533-position model. The record is from RNAcentral.